Long non-coding RNA from Brassica rapa (field mustard), 13270 nucleotides. RefSeq lists it as uncharacterized. Lineage: Eukaryota; Viridiplantae; Streptophyta; Magnoliopsida; Brassicales; Brassicaceae. The record is from RefSeq and is a predicted model, not a curated record.
UUAAUUUUUUGUCAUAAAAAUAAUAUUUAAUAAAGAAAAUGACAAAAUAAAUUUUAUUAAAGUGUAAAACUAUAUUUAUAUCCUAUGAUUAAUUAAUUUAGACUUAAAAUUUAAAAUUAAAGAUGGAAUUCGGAAUAUGGAUUCAAAUUUUAAAAAUUAAAAAAUAAAUAUUAAAAAUUUCAAACUAAAAAGAGAUUAUUUUAGUAAAUUUUUUCUUUGAAAAUUAUUUUUGUAAUAAAAAACUUAAAAAUAGUUAUUUGAGAGAAUUGCUCAAUUAGAAAUAUAGAACAAAAUUUACUUCCAUUGUCCUAAUAAAAUGGUUUAUCCCAUUUUUGCUUUAAUUACAUUUUAUAUUAUCAAAAAUAAUCAAAUAAAUAGUUUUUUAAACCAAAAAAUUAAUUUUUUUCAAAAACAACCGAAUAAAUAUAUUACUUAAAUACUCUUAUUAGUUUAGUAGUAAUUGUUUUUGCGUUUUAAAACUUACUUAAGCACUUCAAAUAUUGGUCUACUGGUAGCGGAGUUCAUAUUCUAUAUUUCUACACAAAACAUAGUGGAAAUUAAAUAUUAUGGUUUGUUAGACAAUUUAUGUUUAUUAGAAUCAGUAAUAUAACUUUCACAUAUAUUCUGCAUCUGAGGAAUAUGACAUCUACUGUUGUCAGUGUUUUCUAAAUUUCUGUUGAAUGCAAUUUAUACUAUUAACAUAUUACUCAAAAAUUAUCUGAAGCCAGUAGAAUAUGCUUUCGAAUCUAUUGGCUAGUUUCUACGUAUGGCAGAAGUAGAAGUGUAGAACCGUAGAAGAUAUGAUCUACAUAGAAUCAUGACCAAAUCUCAAAAAAACUUGGAAAUGUAGUUAUAAAAUUGGCAGAAAAUAAUUGCAAUUUUUGUUUAUUUAUUUUUCUACUUUAAAUCAAUUUUCAAAAAAAAAAAACAAAAGAAUUUUGUUAUAUUUAUCUCUUUUUAGUUUUAUUUAAUAUAUUCAAAUAACUAUCAUAUAUGUAAAUACCCUAAUAUACACAUUACAAUGAUUUACAUCAUCAAGAUUAAACUAUUGAAAUAUUUGAUAAAAUGUCAUCUUGGCAUUUUCUUAAUUAGAGUAAAGAAAUUACUUAAAUAUACUAAUAUGCAUGCAUUUAAUUAGUACACUGCUAAUUAAAAUGUAAUAAGUUAAAUUCAAAUUUAGACUAUAUAGUAAUUUGAUAUUUUUGUGGAAAACCAUCUUAAAUUUUGAGCAACAUUAAAAUAUACAAUUUUUUAAAAAAGUAAAGAGAUUCAAUUUGGUGAAAAUUAAUUUAUUAUUAGCUUAUUAUUAAUAACCUAUCUUUAUUUUAUCUAAACAGAUGAUUUUAUAUUAUAGUAAGUCCAUUGUCUAUUAUUAGCGUUUAAUAACAUAUGUAAUAUAUAUAUAUAAAUAUAUAUAACUUUGAACAUUUUAGUAAAAAAUAAUAAAAUUUAAAACGGACUUGGAGGUUUUACUUCUUAAAUUUUUUUUUUAACUUUUCUAAAUAUAUAAAAUUUCAUUUAUUUGUAUUUUAAAAUUGAAGUCGGUGUUUUAUUGGGUUUUCAUUAUACUAAUGAGACAACAUCAUAUAUUAUCCCAUUAGGAUAAUGAUAUAAAAAAAAUUAUGUAUUUCCAUUUUUUCCUAAAAUUAAUGUAUCAUACAAAUUUUUUAAAGAUUUAUGAUUUAUCAUGAUUUUCGAGCAUGGUAUAUUAGACCAAUCCAACGAUUAAACUGUUAACCGGCAAGACACCAAAUUUUUGUUAUUUUUUAAUGGCGGACAUCAAAUGUUUUUCAUAAAUAAAUCAUAAUAACAUAUACUAUAAUAUAUAAGGAAUAUAUAUAUAUCAUAAUAUUAAACUAUUAAACCUCCAGGGUAUUUUAUAAUUAUUUUCACAUAUAUUGUAUCUCUCUCACGGCCUACAAUAAAUAAAAUAAAAUAAAUUUAUAUAAAUAUUCGUCAGGAUCGUCUCAAAUUAUAUUAAUGUUUUGUUCAAAAAAAUAUAUUAACUAUAUAUAUAUUUAACAGUGUAAUGAAAUAAUUUUAAAAGUCUUAUAUUUGAGAUUUUCCUUCUACUUAUAAACUAUAAAUUUAAUAAUAUAUUAAAAUUUGAAAUUUUAACCCAAAUUUAUAUAUUUAUUUUGAAAUUUUUCUUAAUAUUUUUGUAUUUUUAGACUCACACCAUGUUCGACUGCUCCGCUAACCUAUGUUAUUAGACGGCCCUGAUAUUGGUUAGUCAUUUCGUAAUUGAUCUCAUAGUAUAUCAAUUGGUAAACCAUUUCGCUGUAGUUCUAAAAAAGACAUUUCGUUGUAUAUUAACGUGUAAAUGUCUGCAUGCAUGCCGGGCAAUCAUUUAGUAAAAUAGUCCUUCCUAUCAUAUCGGUUUAGACGAUUCAUACUGAUAUUGACAUUUACCUAAAAAUAUCCAAACCACAUUUCCUCUGAUUGUUUUUUUUUUUUUUUUCAUAGCCGCCUAAAAUUAAUAUAGAAUCUUUGGGCUGCUUAGAAAUAAUGACACAUUCUUUAUUCAUUUUCUGGUAUAACUAAAAAUUUAAUUAACAUUCCUUGCAAGACUUGGUUUGGUUGGGGUUGAUCUAUAUGUGUGGUUGGCGUCAUGACCUAAUGCUCUCAAUUUUUGUCGCCUACGGCUAUUACCGUGUUCGUGUCACUAAUCUAACUUUGAAUUUUGAUUUAUUUUGUGAUGUGAAAAAGUUAUAAAUUAAGUCUGAUGCAUCCAAACUGAUAGCAAUAAGAAAAGAAACACUAUAACUAACCAUAUGUAUACACGACCAAAAGCUUUGUAUAAACUAUAUAUAGAUAUUUAUAUCUUAACGGUACUGAGCGAAUCUAAUGAAAUGUAUGCAUAAUUUAAAACACGUAAAUAUAAUUAUGUGUAAGCAAAUUACGAAAGUGAAAAGUUUAUUGGCAAUUUUUUGAGAUUUGGUGUGAAUCAAUCAUCUAUAUUUUUUUAGUUUCCCAUAUGAUAUUUAGUUAGCUAUGAUGCCUAGGUAGUUUAUGUUUUGUUCGAUUUCAUUUUAUAUAGAACACGUAAAUAUUAUGUGUAAGCAAAUUAAGUGUAACCAAGUGAUCCACUUGGUAAUUUAGUGGAAAUCUCUUAGGACUUUUUGUACCCACAUCAGUUUUAGGUUCGAUUUUUUUUGGGAACAAAAUUAUCAUCAUUUGGCCAGUCUGAAUUUGGAUUUCGGUUCAAGUGGUUACAAGGUGGAUCGUAACAGAUCGGUUCAUUACUUGACAUUAGUCGGAAGGUAUUCCAAAGUCGGGUCAUGCAAUGUGGUAGCCAAUCUACUCUAUAGCACUAAGUUUAUCCCUUCUAAAAUCGACCAAAUCAGUCGAUAGGGAGUUAUCAAAAACAAAUUACAAAAGUGUAAAAACUACUAAUUUGACAGCAAGUAAAAACAGAAUUUACGAAAUAUAAAUUAUGAUAACAUAACUAUAAAAAAAAAUUUGUAACAACAGAACUAUAAUUCAUUUGUUGAUAAAUUUCACAUAGAUUUCUUGAACAAAAAGGCAACAUUUACAUUUCAGAGACAAAUAUGUUAGUAAUUCAUUUCGUAGUUUUUCCUUCUUUCUUAAUUAGUUUCCCAUAUGAUAUUUGGUAAGCUAGAUGCCUAGGUAGUUUCUGUUUUGUUCGAUUUCAAUUUUUUCUCAAAUCAUAUGUAUUAUUGUUCUUCUCAAGACGUAACAAAACAGAAUUAGAUCGAAAUAUUGAUCAUUAAUAUACCUGUACUGCUCUUUAGAAUUCCUGUGGGCUAAACUUUUGCUAAUAAAAAGAAGUCUCAUUUUUAGACUUGUGCAAAAUAUAUUUAACUAGUACAAUAGUUUGGUUACAGGUCGGCAAAAGAAGUUUUUAUAGGCUUUGAAUGUUACGAACCAUUCCGUCCCACUCCGCACCGCAGUUAUUAGUAACAAAGAUUAUUAUAUAUAUAAUAUGUUUAUAUUUUUUUAUAACUGUGAAAACUGCACCGCAGUUGAACCGCUAGUUCUACACCGUUCAACCUGCAGUUACCAUUCGGUAUACAAUAGUCUCAUUCAAUUUUUUUAACUCAGUGGCCAAAUAACAAAGUAGUUUGAUUGUUCCAAUAUUAACAUUUAUUAAUUAGUUUUACACGGAAACAUGAAUUGGUCCACAAAAGUGACUGAAACAAUCAAAAGCCAUUGUAAACAGAAGAGAGAAGACCAUCGUAGAAAGUCCGAUCAAUUUUGUCCUUAUCUCAUCAUGUACUUAUUCAAAUUUUAGUUUAGUGGUACACAAAGAAAUAAAGAACAUCCCACAUUUUGUUCAUAAUUUCAUAUCAAACGUACCUUUUUUUUAAAUGAUAUUGAGUUUUUUGGCCCCCUCCUAUGACAUUUGUGGUUGAGCUUUAUUGUUGUUGACAAAUCUCGUGAUAUUAAUUGCUAUAUAUGGGAAAUGAUAUAUCGUAUUGUCACACUCAAUUUAAUCAUUUAUUGACUAUAGUUUAAUAUAAUUUAGGGAAUUUGCAUCCAAUAACCAAAUAAAAUUCCAAAAUUAACUAAUUAACCAAUUUUACGCUUUCUAUCUCUUCUCCUUUCUCUUUCUAUCUAUCUCCAUUUUUUCUCUACAAAAAUAAUUUUCUUUUUUUAUUAUUUCACAAAUAACCCAUAUAAUUUAAUGUUGUUGGUUUCUUAACAGUUGGCCUUCAUAUAAUCUCGAUAAUAGGAGCAUUUUAUAUUAUUUUUGUCAAGACCAUUUCAUUAGGAAACGAAGCAUCCUUAUAAAAUUAUGAAAUGUGAUUUAAAUAGACGCCCAAAAUAAAAUAAAUCAUACAAGUACAUAGCCUGGUGGUGGUUUAGAAGAUCUUCAUCGUUGAUUUUUCAAAAAUUGUAAAUAAUACAUAUUUUAAAUUCUAAAUAUUAAGACAAUUAAAAGGAUGAUUGGUUUGACUGUAGGAGCUGGCUUUAGCUUUAACAUUAAUCUAUAACAUUUAAAACAUCAAUCAUGCUUUAUCUUAUUUUUUAAAGUUAUAACAAAAUAAAAUAAAAAAUGGUUGUGGAAAUCUUAUUUUCUAAAACCGCAUCUUUUUGACCGUAGAAAAUAUAUUAUUUUAGCAAUCAAUUUUAAAGUUAUAUCACUUACAGUUAAUAAAAAAAUUUUACUGCCUAAAUUCUACGGUAAAGUUUCUACAGUUACAGUCCAAUCAAUCACUCUAUCGUGAAUAAUGUGGCCGUUAUUUUUGUAUUAAUUAAUCAUUCAAAUUCUUAAGCGUCCAACUAGUCAUUAUUAUUGUAUGUAACCCACGUCAUACUGGAGCGUUGGUCAUAAUUAAUUAAGGCAUAUUGAGUUCAAAAUUUAUCAUCACAGUAGUUUAUGCUGUCCAAAUCAUGACACUGGAAUCACAUAAUACGUACUUCUUCCUUUUUUGUUUUAUAUGAAAAAUAUAAACUAACGCGUUGUAAGUGUGAUUAGAUCUGAUCGAUGUCGUGGUCAAAAUCAAACUUAAUGGGCGGGAUUGGUGGGGAAAAGGAAAUUAUGGAGUAUUACAUUCUUCGAUUUUAGAUAGGUGGCUAUGGCGUUGAUGAUGAUAAUAUAGUAAUGAGUUAAUGACUAUAAAUCUGACCUAAUUCGAGUUUCUUUUAUAAUAAGUGUAUUUAAGAAAUGUUAAAAAAUAUAUUUCUCGUUAACAAAAAUGAUUAAUGAUAAUUGUUCUUUCGGUUCGUACGCAUUUUUAAUUUAUCAACUUCUUCGUUUUCUGACCUUUCUUUUAUUGCAAAUUUAUCAAGUUUGCUCCGUAAUCUAUCAUUUUCUAUAAAAUAUUUUCACUUUAGAUAGUGCGAUUUUUAAAUGAAAAUAAGUAACACUUUAUUAUAUAUUAAAUAUGAUAUGUCCAUUACGACUAGCUAUUUUAGAGCUUAAACAUUAGACAUUGAAUAUCAUAUUCCUGUAAAUAUAUGUAAUCAUCCAUUUUCAUUAUUUGUACCAUAUUUUUUAUAGCUUAUACUCAAAGACCAAAUAGGAUUCACCACAAGUAUCAAAUUGCAACGCAGAAAUAUUAUAAUAUUAUGAUGUCUAAGCAUCCAAUCGUUGCAAGUAUUAAAAUUGAGAAGAAAAAAAUAAUACCAGUUAUAAUAUACUAAUGAAUUUACGUAAAUCAUCCCUUCAAUCUGAUUUUAAAAUUUAUUUUUAAUUAAGGAAUCAGUAUUAGUUUUGAUAGGACAUACAUAUAAAUUAAUGUAGCUAUUAGCAACUAUGAGAUUUAAAAAGUAACAAAAUUAAUAUUUUAUCAUAAUAUAUACAUACAUAUAUAAAUACGUAUAUAUUACCCAUUUACGUAUAUUUUUUAAAUGCAAAAUAUAUUUAACAACAAAACAAAAGAGAAGAAUGGGUUACACACAAAGGAGCUUGAAUGUGCUUGUUUUGGCAACAUAAAUAGAGUAAAAGUUAAUGGAUACCCAUUAAGACAUAUUGAUUGUACAUUUGGAUAAAAAAAGUUUUUAAAUGAAAUUAUUCAUUUUAUGUUUAAAAAUUAAAGUUUAAAGGUGAAUAUUCGACCAAAAGUUAUUCUAAAUGAAACCAUUAAGAAAAAGAAGAGUGAAGUAUCCUUCUAUAAAGUUUGCAUUAUUGUACGUUUCGUUUUCUGAAAUGUUGUAUUCUAUAUAUUGUAUUGAACCAUUUGAUAGUUUUAUUUUUAUAUCGGAAACAUAGCUAAAACUAAAGAACCGUAAGAAAGUAUUAAAUGAAAAAUAGAAACAGUAAAUUAAAUUAUAGGCAAAAUAGACGAACCAAACUUAAUUACACUGUGAAUCUACAGCCGAUCUAAAUUUGAACUUAGGUCGAUUCUAAUCGUGUUAUAGAUAGGAAAAUCAAAUUUAAUUUUAAUGUAAAACCAGAUAAGAUACUCCUACUAAAGUAUCACGUUUGUGCACUUUCUCAUUAUAAAUUGGUUCACUUUUUUAUCUCACUUUUUCUUUCUUUUUGUCCCAAUGACUUCGGCAAACACGAAGGGAGGUGCAAAGAAAAGAUGCUGAUAUAUGAGAAUUUGUUCAAUUCUGCCGGCUUAAGUUUCCAGAGGAAGGCUUUGUUUCCUGCUGGCUUUAGUUUCUAGGGUUGAAUCAUGUAACUCGCUAGCUAUGUCUCUUCUCCCUGUAUUACUCUUUCUUGUUUAAUGAAAUCCUUCAGCGUGAAAAAAAAAAAGAGAAUAUAAUUGAGAUUAUCCAUUACUCUAUACCUUUGUUUAAUAAUGAACAUCUAUAAUAAAUAAAUAAACGAUAUCACUUGAAAAUCAGGUUAAAAGACAAAGUGCCUUUUGUUCUACAAGUGUAAUCCACCAGUUGUGAAUCCUUUUCUAACCUUUUUCCGAUGCUCCGCUCCAUUAAGUUUUACUAUUUAAGGCAUUUUCAUAUCUACUCCAUUUUUUCCUCUAAAAUGGAGUAAAAGUGAAUAUGCAGUAAAGAAUGCUCCAACCUAACUUCAUAUCUCACUCUAUAAUGAAAUUUACUUCAUAAAUAAAGUAAUUUAUUUUUUAUUUGUUCAUCACUCCAUUAUAGAGUGGGAAAUAGAGUAAGAUUGGAGUAAUUUUACUUCAUUUUCACUUUUACUCCAUUUUAAAAGAAAAAAAAAUGAAGUUUUACAUUGGAGAUGCUCUUAGGUCUUACUAUACUUAAUAAUUCAUAAAAUAGUAACAAAACUCAUAUUUUCUAAAAUUUUAUGUAGAUAACAUCUGGAAUAUGCAGAACCGGUCUUAGAAUUUUAUAGGCCAAAAACGAAGAAUGUGACCACUUUUUCAAGAGAAAACAGAGAAAAAAAAACAUAAAAGCUGAAUUGUGGCCAUGGCAGUUCGACCCUAUGAACUAAUGGAUGUAUUGCCAUAAGAAUUUCCACUAGACUAAAGAGAUUAUUUUGUAAAAUGUGGCCGAAAAAAGUUCAUAAAAUAAAUGGCCGCAAGCGUAUGCUUCUUCCGCUUUAUACAAGGACCGGCACUGAGAAUAUGACAUGUAAUCUAAUGUUUAUAUUAAGGUCAUCAUAAUAUUACCAUCUGAACUAUAACCUUUAAUGCACAUGCUUGAAUUAACACAUGAAAACGCAAUCUAGUAAGAACAUCGUUAUUGAGGGUUUCUCAGCCUAAUUUCUUGCCCAAAAUAUAAUUUAAAACAAUAAGAAAACCAAUAGAGAUGAACAAAGCAGGAAAAUUUCUGAAUAAAGAAAAUUUGACAAGAUGGUAUACACAUGUCCAAAUUAUAUUUGUUUAAUAUUCCAAAUAUUAAAAUUAGUAGCUAUCAUAAAAUUAGAAUAACUUAUUAAUAUAAAACUGGGAAGAAACCCUGUACAAGAUACUAAACGUUAAUCAUGUUCUAAUUUGAUCUAAAACAUUAUGUUCUAACAAAUUUGUGGAAUAAAAUGAGUACACUGUAUCUAAUUUGAAUCGGUUUCACGAUCUAAUACAUUGUAUAAAUAUAUAUUGUUAUAAAUCAUGUAACCUAAUUAUUGUGGAAUAUUACAAAUGUUGCUUACUUGCUGUUGAACGAUUAUGAAUUGGUGUUAUAUAAAAAGAAGAACGUACUCGUGAAUAUCAUAUAAAAAUAGCAUUUAUAAAAAAAUCUAGAAAUUGGUCAAUGAUUAUGCAUUUAUAGGACUUUGAUUAAAGUAUAUAUCAUUAUCAUACUACAGACAAAUUAGCCGUAGGUUCUGAUCAGUCUCCACUAAUUUUUUUUAAGCUUUGCAUGUGUUUCUAAAAGUACACAAAAUUCUUCACCUAAUAUGCCCUCCCUUCUCCAACUUAGCAAUCACCAUUUAAUUUAUUAUUACGUGAUAGAUGAACCUCUCACUUUAUUUUAAUAUAUAUACAAACUAGAAUUGGAUUUUCUUGUAUUCGUUUAUUUCAUUAAAGAGGGGGGGGAGGAGCAGUGCCGUGCGAAGAAUUUCAGGGGCCUAAGGUAAAUUUUAAAAAUAAACUUAUUUACAACUAUAAUGAAAACAAUUUUGUAAUAUGAUAUAUCGUUUUCACCAAAUACACAAAUCUAACCCUGUAAAAGAAUAAGUUUAUGUAUAUUAGUCUACUAUGUGGAAAGGGUUUUUUUAAAAAUAAGCCUAAACCAUUAGAUUAUAAAUUUAUUUUAAAUUUUGGGGCCCUAAAAAAAUUUAUAUUAAUCGGAGACCUAAGGCGAAUGCCUUUUUCAAUACACUGUAAGCACGCCUCUGGGGAGGAGGGGGUGUCACCUUAAUCUAUCUCAGUAUCUCCGUGUUUUCUUUCGUUACACGUUGCUCGGAUCAAUCCAGCCCUUAGCGUCUAUAUGUAAUGUCUCUUAAGUCUUAAGAAACACCAAACUUUUUUUUCUGUUUUUUUUUUUGUCAUUUUUAUAAUAACUCAUUUUUUGUCGUACCCUCCAGACUAAUUUACCCUUAAAUUAUACGAAUCAUAGUAAAAUUAUAUAAUAAUCGACACGUGAAGUCGUGAACUUCAAGAACCGAGUUGACCUAAUCUGCUAUAAGUUAAACCCGAGCCGCUGUGUAUCAAUCUCAUUGAACCUACUAGUAGUUGGUGCUGAAAGUAUGGACCAAUUUGUUUUUUCAACACUUUAUAUGAGUUCUUUUUUUUCCACUCUCUCGUAUUUUCCCUCUCUUUUAUAUUAAAUACGAACGUAAAUAUAUGUCAUUAUCUGUUAUACAAGCAUACAUAACCCGUAGCAUAUAAAACAAAAAAAAAAACGAAAAGCUUAACUGUAGUAGACAAAACAUACAGAAAACAAAUUAGUUGAACAUAUGGACAAAAUAUACAGAAAACAAAAACAUAAGGUGCAACUUAUCCGCGACGUGAAGGAAUCUUCUAAUAUGUUUAUACAAAUUCAUGCAUUUGACGACAAAUAUAUACUGUAUUAAAAAUUCAAUUCACACUAGUUGUAUAUCUUUAUUCUGACUAAACGUAGCUUAUAUGAGUAUCUAUUAUUCAUCUUAUCACGUUUUCUUCGAAGAAUGAACUCGGCCACGUAUGUCUCCAUCUAUCUUGUUCGUUUUGUCUAGCUUAGGAAAUCAAUAUAUAGAGAAGAAAAAAAUAAAAAGGAAUAUGAAAACGUAUAAUGGGACAAAUAAGUCUAUUCUAAAAUGAUAUUAAAAAAACUCUGAGCAAGUUUUAAGAUAGUGAUGAUGUUAGGCGUAUUUGUUUGACAAUGGAGGAAAUCGAGUAUUAGACAAACGAAGAUGUUGACAAAAAAAAAUAUAAACGAAGGUGAUCAAAAGGGACCGAAGAUGUCUUUUUCUAUAGAGUUUGGUUCACCCCAAAACUUAUAUUUUCUCAACUUUUUUUCUGUAUUACUUUAUACAAUUGUUUAUGGUUUUCAUAAAAAGUAUAAAUUAACACAUGAGAAAAAUAUAAUACAAAAAGAUCUAAAAGUUCAUAACUACUUUUUUUUUCCAUCGAAUUAAUUUUAUUGAUGGGUCAAGCCCAGAAAACCCAUUACAAAAGAGCAUAAAGCCCGACAAAACAAAUAUACUAAAGCCCAUCAAAGGCAAACCGAAACAAACCCAAUGGCCCAAGCUCAUAAACUGAACGGUGCCACAACUGUACACACGUCCAGGCAAACUCUUGCCUGCCCACGUGUUGAGGCCCUCGCCUCACGGAGACACGCGUCAGCCGAUCACCACAUCGGUACCCCAAACGCCAAGGUUAGCCGGAAAAGAUGAAGAACGGCCACUAGUUUCGCCGGAACACACCUGAACAAAACACCGUACCGUCUUCAUCACCAAACAAUUCCAACGGAGAGAUCCAUCGAGGACAGUCCCGAGAUCUCAUCCAAAUCCACCGGAAACACCAUUGACGAUUUAAAACCACACCCAAACCAAUGAAUUUCACCGUAAGGCUCAAACAAAGCGAGCCGUCGCACACACUUCGACACGUGACCAGCCAACGACACCACGACUGGAGAGUCAUCGCCGGAAGAACUCGCCGCCGAUCCACCGGACACACCGGAAACAGGACGUCGAAGAGAAGAAGCCGUCGAGAUGACUCUAGCAGUCGAAACACCACAAACGCUAAAAAAUCGAGUCAAGAGUUCUACGCUUCAAAAUUAAAGAUUUCAAUCAAAAUCAACCGCUUCCAACCAAUCGCUUUUCCUGCAUGUAGCUACAAACACCUUUAAUGAUUGAAGAAAGCCCGAAGAUGCAUCAGCCUUAACCAAGGGAGGAAGAAGCAAUCGAUUGUGGACACCGGAAGUUGAUUGGAACAAGAGAACCAAGGAAGCGAAGAAGAAACUGAAACCGGGAAAGCUCCGGAGAAAACCCGACGUCAUCACCGGAGGAGAAGGUGAGACUCGGAGCCAGAAGCCAACGACUACACCGGACCUGCUGGUGCGCCGUUGGAGCCAAAAGCCGACCAAUCGACUCUGUAGAAGACGUCGUUGUCGGAACUGGAGCCCGAUCCACGGGAAACCUAAGCUGGUGAACGGAACCGGCGAGCAAGUUUCAUCUCUCCUCUUUCUCUGUGAAAGAUGAAGAUAGAGAACAGAGAGAAGAGAGAGAGAAAACCCAAAUAUUCUAAAAGUUCAUAACUACUUUGUGUUUAGAUGAGUAAAAGGAAUAAAGUAAAUCCGAUGAUGAUUUGUCUAUGCCAGAAUAAAAAGAUUAUAACUUCUUUUUAAAUAAAUAAAUAAAAAAGAUAGAAUUGGAUCCAAUGAAAUUUUAGUCAUUUAUUCAGACAAGAUAUGAAGAUAUAGUUGAAAUUGACGUACCGUGUACCUAACCGAAAAUGCUUAAUUAAUCAAAUCAAGAUAUCUUCAUACUAAUAUAAUUAUUAUUAUAUCCGUAUAUACUAGCUUCUGAUAUUUCUCAAUUUGAAUUAAUAACUAAGAUAAAAGUGAAUGUGUAAACAAUAAAGAUGCAUUAAAAAUUGGUUAUGUACAUUAGAUUUGCAUCAGGAUAAGGUUUAGUGGCUGAAAAGUAUUAAGAAUUAAACAGAGAUAGACACGCAUGAGUCCAUGACUGUAAGAAAAAGAAAGACUUCUCUUUUCUUGUGGUCGACCUGUCCCACACCGAGAAAAAUCACUCACUUCUGACAACACCUACUUGUCCGUACUUUAAACAUUAUCGGAUGUUUCCUAUGUUCUCUUUCAACUUUUAAAUUUAUUAUAUUAUUAUUUCGGAAAAUAAUGAUAACAAAUUCUUUAAAAGCGACACGAGACAAACAAAACGGUGGUACCGAAACAAUUAUUUAUAUAAAAUUAUUAAGUGUAGUUUCACGAAAAAUGAAACAGAAAGGUUACUUCACUUUGUUGCCCAAAAAAAAAGGUUGCUUCAUUGGUCCCACUUUUGUCGUGGCCUAUUAUUGGACCCACACGUCUCGCACGUGCAGUUUUAGUAUUUUUUUUUUUUCCUUCUAUUAAUUUUAUUAAGGGUUCAAACCCAACUACAACAGAGCAUAAAAGCUCAAAAUACAAACAAGCUAAAGCCCGACAUAAAGGGCCAAACGAAACACACAGUCUAAAGUCCAAGCCCGUAAGCUGAGCGGUAUCACAAACGAAACAUGCGUGAAGCAGAAACGCUUGCCCGAUACAAACGUGCAGUUUUAGUAUACUUGCUGUAAAUAUUUUUCGUAAAAAGAAAAUUCAUGGCUGCUGUGUCUUUUCUUUUUGGUUAAUUUGAGAACUGAUUGGUGCACAGUUAUCUCAGUAUCACGACAUGUUGAGCUUAUUAAAAUCUGACAUCAGUUGUUGUAUUUUAGAAAAGUUAUAGAAAUAUUAUUUUGUGUGUUCAAAAAAAAAAAAAAAAAAAAAAAAAAAAAGAAAUAUUAUUUUGUUCGUUUGAUAAUUUUUGCUCAAAUAUAUUGUUGUAAUGAUAUUUGUAUAAGACACAAUCGAUAUGAUAAAGAUAAGAAUAUAUAUUUUGGAAAUGUUCUUCUUGUUUAGUAUUUUAACUAUUAAAAUAAAAUAUAAAUUACCGGGAAAAGUAAAAAAAAGUUAUCUGCUCUCGAAAAAAUAUAAAAAUAAUAUAUGUUCCCGGGUCUCGGAUAUGCCACGGUAGUUUGAAUUUUAAAUCAAUAAAACUGAAAUGAAAACUAUCUUUUUUUUUUCUUACAUUGCCUAUUUAAUAUAUCCUUAUAUAUGAAUUCUAUAUAGGGAAAAUUAUUUCUUAGAGCAAAAAAAUGAUAAUUAUGUCUUUUUAUACUAAUUUUUAUUUUGUGUCAUUUUUACCUAUAACGCUCUUUAAUAUUUUUGAAAAUAAAUUUAAUAAAUAAUUUUACAAACAAAAAAAAUUAGAAAAUAGUAACUUUUGAUAAAAUACCUAUAUGAACUUAGUGAUAUUUUUUUC